Long non-coding RNA from Canis lupus familiaris (dog), 1236 nucleotides. RefSeq lists it as uncharacterized. The record is from RefSeq and is a predicted model, not a curated record. NCBI's taxonomy places the organism in Eukaryota, Metazoa, Chordata, Mammalia, Carnivora, Canidae. The transcript is spliced from 3 exons.
GAUGAUCUCACUCAGGUGAGAUCUCACUCAGCAGCCAUUCCUUGGAGGCCAAGAGUCUAUGAUGUAUUGAUCCAACAGUCUGCAGCUUCCAACACCAUCGCCAUGAAUGACAAACAGAUAACACUUUAGGCAGAGGGAAAUGUAUCCAUGAAAUUAAAAGGAGCCCUGCUCAUCUCCUGGGUCAAAGAAAACUUGAACAUGACACAUUGCUGAAUUCCAGAUCCAACCCUUGGAGUCCAGACCACACUGGACAUGUCUGAAGCAGGACUGGUGUGGAUACAACUUUGUUGACUCUGUCAGCCCGAGCUGUGCCGCUGGAGCCACACUGGCUAGCCACGGCCAGGCUCACAAAGGGCCCUUGUAGCUCUGGGCCCAAGCCUCAAAGGCCCGUCUGUUACGUCUUCUGGACCAUUUUGAUGUGCCAUGUCAAUCCAGCUGCCAAGCCUGGCAAUCGGCUCCAAUCCCUCAUACAUUUCUUCUUCUUUUUGACGUCAUAACUGAGACAAAGGACACUUUCCACAGGUGACUGUAAACAAGUGUCUUGAGUGAAUGUGGCACCAAUACCAGAGAUGGAAAGACAUUCUUGUCCCUCUUCAAACCUGAUCAUUUUGAAGUUUAAAUGUCUCUUGUGACUUAAUGAACUAGAAAAGCAUAUGAUGACACUCCCCUAGACCUCCAGCCUCCAGCAUACGGCAUCCUCACCAAUUCUUAGCUGGACUACUGAAACUGUCCCUGAAGGUCUUCAUGGCCUCCAGUCCUGUUUCCUCCGAUUCAUCCUUCACUGCCACCAAAGUCAGCCUAAUAAACAUCAACAGAGACUCUCCUUGAAAACACUGGCUUUCACAAUUGCCUAUGGCUAAGUUCCAAACUCCACAGUAGGACUCUCAAAGACCCUCACCGGCUGGUCUCAGCUCCCCGUUCUAGCCCAUCUCUGCCACUGCUGGCUGCACCCUAACCUGCCAGUGGUACCAUGGCACAUCCCAGACCAAACCAGCAGCAUCCCCUCUGCACAGCACAUCCUGCUACCCCAUCUCUUCGCACACCUUCCCCACUGCUCUUCCUGGUCCUUUGAGACCCAACUUGGAUGUCACUUCCUCUGUGGGGUUGUCCCCAGUGCCUCCAGUUGUGAGUCAUACUAUCUCUCGGGUUCUGAGGACUCUGAGUCCUGUCCUCAAAGAGCCCACUACAUAGCAGUGAUGGGCUUGGGUGCUGGUUCUCCCAGGACAGUGCCGUAAG